GCUGGCUGUGCCCAGGCACUGCCUUGGGGUAGGCAGGAGCUGGCAGGAAGGCUCAGCAUGCGCAGGCUCUGACUUCUGUAAAGCAGAUGGAGGGUGUGCUUGCGUGAGCCUUCAGUUAAGCCUUGUUCUAGAGAGUAAUUAAGCCUUUCCCUUGAUUGGCUUUAGACGUGUUUCUUGAACGCUGCGGUGCUUCUGCCCUGGGAUUUGCGAUCUGACCCGAACUCUGUACUCAGCUCCUGUGCAGCUCAGCUUGGCGUGGGUUCUCCAAACUCCAGCUUCGAGGUGCCCUUACUGCAUAGAAUAGACCCCCCCCAGGAAGCUGGGGGCACCUCGCAGCCUCCUGGUACAGCUCAGCACUGCUGGCUGCCCAGGGCACGCUGCAGAAGAGUGCUGACAGAAACAGAAUUGUCGUUGCUGAGGUCAACUGGGAGCCACACAAAUUGCUGGGCAAUUGGGAUUCGCGUCACGAGCUUUCCUGCACAGUCACCCUGAUCCCCGGGGUGGAUUUCCUCCCCAUCCUGGCACAGGAGCCAAUGCAUAAGGGUCUGUGCAUCCACCCUCCUGCC
This 566-nucleotide long non-coding RNA is filed under the name Gallus gallus (chicken). RNAcentral's name for it is "lncRNA (ENSGALG00010014417.1)". The record is from RNAcentral. Lineage: Eukaryota; Metazoa; Chordata; Aves; Galliformes; Phasianidae.